Non-coding RNA from Camellia sinensis, 2555 nucleotides. The record is from RefSeq and is a predicted model, not a curated record. Lineage: Eukaryota; Viridiplantae; Streptophyta; Magnoliopsida; Ericales; Theaceae.
UUGGAGGGAUUUGCAACACACAAAUGACUCUCUAUCUCUCUCGCAUAUGCCCUCCUCCGAUUAUCUCUCUCUCUCUCUCUCCUUAAUUCCCUGUCGCAGACCCAACCCCGAACCCCCUAUUGCUGUCUUCAUUUUCUCUCUUCCUCACUCCCUCUCUCCGCCAUCCCAAUCUUUAUCAAUAAUGGUGGCCCCAAACUUCCUAUUUCAGCCAUAGGGGACAUUUCGAAAGGAGCCACUACAAAAAGGGAGAUUUCACUAGAUUACCACCGUCUUUAGGGAGAUCGGUACUCGGUCGUCGUCAAUAUUCAAGGAGAUCCGAAAUAGGUAUUUUAAUUAGUUAAGUUCUUCAUUUUUCCCCCCUGAAUUAGAUCAAUCUCUCUCUCUCGGCAAAUCUUGGUUGCUCAUAGCCGAUUCUUCGCGGUUAAGCUUUCCGAUCGAUGGUCGAAGCAGCAGCGAACUUCUAACCCCUACAUUGUCGAGAUUGUUGACUGUGAUGAUGUUGAAGUUUGCAUUGAGGCUCUAAGUUUGAUGUAUUGUAAGGAUUUGAGGAAGAAGCUCAUGAAAGAAGAUGUCACUAGAGUACUUGGAAUCUUGAAGAUCUUCCUAUGGAUCAAACUGCUACAAACAUGGCUUCUACCCAUUGUCUCUCUUCCUAUUCAAACCACUUGUUUCGUAGCUUCGAGCAUUUUCAGGUUUAUAAUCGGUAUCUUCUCUCUAUUCUCAUUCAUUAGAUUGAACAAUAUUAAAACUGUACAUGACAAUUCACUUCUAGUGGAAGAGACUAUAAGAGAACCAAAUGUGCAUGUUGAUGAAGAUAGAAGAUUGGAGGAGUAUGUGUUCUGAUUGCAAUUUCAAUUCAGACACUCAAGAUUUGGAUAUGACUAAGGAUUCAUCAUCAAAUAUAUUUACUUUUAUUUUACCUCAUCAAUUGCCUUUAUCCACCUUUAAAUACUGUGAUUAAUGUUCUCAUAUUACUCAACAGGUGCCCAAGUUAGAAAAUAAUUCCUGCUUUUAUUUUCUCAAUAUCUUUAUGUUACUCUUGGAUAAUUCAUUGGAUUCUACUUAAAGUCUCAUAUUCCAAUUGCUUGAGGAUUUCUGUCAAGUUUUGUUACUUGAUUUAUCAAAUAUUUGGACAUUGCGGCUUUUGUGCUGCAAAAUGAAGCUGCAAGUAAUUGGAAUUAAGGCUUUCUUUCUUUUUCUUUUUCAGUUGUACUGAAAAAUUAAGAUUCUCUUUGGUUUUGAUUUUUCAACAUCUUUUGGGAUUCAAAACUUUCCAAAUUAAAAGGACCCCAUAUCUUCAACAAGUUGUUACCAGUACAUAGUGCAACUGCAAUAGUUGUAAGGCUCACUAACUUUUCAAAUGUUGUGUGGUUUAUAAGAAAAUUGCUUUUGAGUUGUAUGUAUGUGUGUCAGAAAGAAUGAAGAAAGUCUAGUAUAUAUUUUUGAACAACUUGUUCAAUUUUGUUUUUACCAUUCCUUUUCAUAUGCAUCAUUUUUGUAUUGCUACUCAUCAUCAUUGCAUUGUCAGCAUUGAAUUAAAUUUUUCCCCCCUUUUUCCCUCCAAGUAUCCAAUUCCAAUGAAGAAAGAAACACGAGGAAGUACAGAUCGGUAUAUAGGUAGCUAGCUGAAGUCUCAACCUUGUGAUAAGGUUAUUUUGGCUACGAAAGUGUGUGGAUAUUCAGAGCAAUCAAGUUAUAUACGUAACAAUGCAAAGAUUUUGCGGGUUGAUGCUGCUAAUAUUAAAGAAAGUGUAUAGAAAAGCCUUAAGCGCCUCAACACUGAGUACAUUGAUCUAUUGCAAAUACAUUGGAGGAACACAAAUUUAAGCAAGCUCAGAAAAUUAGAAAUCCAACAGACUUAAAAAGAUCCUAGAUGCUAGCAAGAGCAAAACAAAAUGUGAAGGUGGCGAUGAAAUUGACACCCAGGGUCAAGAUACUAAUGAACCAGCUAAGAAGAGUCGAGGGGGUUGUGGUGCUCAACAACCUAAGCUCACUAUUGAAGGUAUGAAAAUGAUUGCUGAAUACAAGCUUCAGAAGAAGAAAAAUGAUGACCCAGAACAGCUUCCUGAACCUGUUGAAAGGAAACAACAGCUCUCUGCUGAAAGGGUAGCUUCAAUGAAGAAAUGUUUCUAGCUAUGUAUUUUUUAUGUUUUGUUCUUGUCAAUUUCUAGCUGAUCAAGACUUACAAAGCGAGCAUUAUAUGACAUUUUUACAGGUUUUAAAUGUCCUGAAGCGUAUAAGUGAUGAAGACUGCAAGUUAUUGGGCUUGAAUCCUAAGUAUGCCUGUCCAGAUUGGAUGAAAUUGCAAUAGGAUGUCAUUGUGGUAUGAGCAUACUACAGGAAGAGCUGAAGAACUGUUCCAAUAGCCUCAUACCUUGUUAUUUUCUUUGAUUUCUUUGUUCUUUUAAUUUUUGGUGAGAGCAAAGUGUAGUUUAAGAUUGAAUUUUUAGUGAUUGUUUUUGCCAAAUCACAGAUUGUACGUACUAUUGCUCUUGUAUACAUGUUAAAUUCUCAAGUUUUAUUCUUAGUUAAAUUCUUUGGCUAUGUUGAAUGAA